Molecule: ribosomal RNA, 2902 nt
Filed under: Klebsiella pneumoniae
Lineage: Bacteria; Pseudomonadati; Pseudomonadota; Gammaproteobacteria; Enterobacterales; Enterobacteriaceae
Description: 23S ribosomal RNA
Rfam family: Bacterial large subunit ribosomal RNA
Source: RNAcentral
GGUUAAGCGACUAAGCGUACACGGUGGAUGCCCUGGCAGUCAGAGGCGAUGAAGGACGUGCUAAUCUGCGAAAAGCGUCGGUAAGGUGAUAUGAACCGUUACAGCCGGCGAUGUCCGAAUGGGGAAACCCAGUGCAAUUCGUUGCACUAUCGUUAACUGAAUACAUAGGUUAACGAGGCGAACCGGGGGAACUGAAACAUCUAAGUACCCCGAGGAAAAGAAAUCAACCGAGAUUCCCCCAGUAGCGGCGAGCGAACGGGGAGCAGCCCAGAGUCUGAAUCAGCUUGUGUGUUAGUGGAACGGUCUGGAAAGUCCGACGGUACAGGGUGAUAGUCCCGUACACCAAAAUGCACAGGUUGUGAACUCGAAGAGUAGGGCGGGACACGUGGUAUCCUGUCUGAAUAUGGGGGGACCAUCCUCCAAGGCUAAAUACUCCUGACUGACCGAUAGUGAACCAGUACCGUGAGGGAAAGGCGAAAAGAACCCCGGCGAGGGGAGUGAAAAAGAACCUGAAACCGUGUACGUACAAGCAGUGGGAGCACCUUCGGGUGUGACUGCGUACCUUUUGUAUAAUGGGUCAGCGACUUAUAUUCUGUAGCAAGGUUAACCGUAUAGGGGAGCCGCAGGGAAACCGAGUCUUAACUGGGCGUUAAGUUGCAGGGUAUAGACCCGAAACCCGGUGAUCUAGCCAUGGGCAGGUUGAAGGUUGGGUAACACUAACUGGAGGACCGAACCGACUAAUGUUGAAAAAUUAGCGGAUGACUUGUGGCUGGGGGUGAAAGGCCAAUCAAACCGGGAGAUAGCUGGUUCUCCCCGAAAGCUAUUUAGGUAGCGCCUCGUGAAUUCAUCUUCGGGGGUAGAGCACUGUUUCGGCUAGGGGGUCAUCCCGACUUACCAACCCGAUGCAAACUACGAAUACCGAAGAAUGUUAUCACGGGAGACACACGGCGGGUGCUAACGUCCGUCGUGAAGAGGGAAACAACCCAGACCGCCAGCUAAGGUCCCAAAGUCAUGGUUAAGUGGGAAACGAUGUGGGAAGGCACAGACAGCCAGGAUGUUGGCUUAGAAGCAGCCAUCAUUUAAAGAAAGCGUAAUAGCUCACUGGUCGAGUCGGCCUGCGCGGAAGAUGUAACGGGGCUAAACCAUGCACCGAAGCUGCGGCAGCGACACUAUGUGUUGUUGGGUAGGGGAGCGUUCUGUAAGCCUGCGAAGGUGUGCUGUGAGGCAUGCUGGAGGUAUCAGAAGUGCGAAUGCUGACAUAAGUAACGAUAAAGCGGGUGAAAAGCCCGCUCGCCGGAAGACCAAGGGUUCCUGUCCAACGUUAAUCGGGGCAGGGUGAGUCGACCCCUAAGGCGAGGCCGAAAGGCGUAGUCGAUGGGAAACAGGUUAAUAUUCCUGUACUUGGUGUUACUGCGAAGGGGGGACGGAGAAGGCUAUGUUAGCCGGGCGACGGUUGUCCCGGUUUAAGCAUGUAGGCUGGUUGUCCAGGCAAAUCCGGAUAAUCAAGGCUGAGGUGUGAUGACGAGGCACUACGGUGCUGAAGUAACAAAUGCCCUGCUUCCAGGAAAAGCCUCUAAGCAUCAGGUAACAUCAAAUCGUACCCCAAACCGACACAGGUGGUCAGGUAGAGAAUACCAAGGCGCUUGAGAGAACUCGGGUGAAGGAACUAGGCAAAAUGGUGCCGUAACUUCGGGAGAAGGCACGCUGGUGUGUAGGUGAAGUCCCUGCGGAUGGAGCUGAGACCAGUCGAAGAUACCAGCUGGCUGCAACUGUUUAUUAAAAACACAGCACUGUGCAAACACGAAAGUGGACGUAUACGGUGUGACGCCUGCCCGGUGCCGGAAGGUUAAUUGAUGGGGUUAUCCGUAAGGAGAAGCUCUUGAUCGAAGCCCCGGUAAACGGCGGCCGUAACUAUAACGGUCCUAAGGUAGCGAAAUUCCUUGUCGGGUAAGUUCCGACCUGCACGAAUGGCGUAAUGAUGGCCAGGCUGUCUCCACCCGAGACUCAGUGAAAUUGAACUCGCUGUGAAGAUGCAGUGUACCCGCGGCAAGACGGAAAGACCCCGUGAACCUUUACUAUAGCUUGACACUGAACAUUGAGCCUUGAUGUGUAGGAUAGGUGGGAGGCUUUGAAGCGUGGACGCCAGUCUGCGUGGAGCCAACCUUGAAAUACCACCCUUUAAUGUUUGAUGUUCUAACGUUGGCCCCUGACCGGGGUUGCGGACAGUGUCUGGUGGGUAGUUUGACUGGGGCGGUCUCCUCCCAAAGCGUAACGGAGGAGCACGAAGGUUAGCUAAUCCUGGUCGGACAUCAGGAGGUUAGUGCAAUGGCAUAAGCUAGCUUGACUGCGAGCGUGACGGCGCGAGCAGGUGCGAAAGCAGGUCAUAGUGAUCCGGUGGUUCUGAAUGGAAGGGCCAUCGCUCAACGGAUAAAAGGUACUCCGGGGAUAACAGGCUGAUACCGCCCAAGAGUUCAUAUCGACGGCGGUGUUUGGCACCUCGAUGUCGGCUCAUCACAUCCUGGGGCUGAAGUAGGUCCCAAGGGUAUGGCUGUUCGCCAUUUAAAGUGGUACGCGAGCUGGGUUUAGAACGUCGUGAGACAGUUCGGUCCCUAUCUGCCGUGGGCGCUGGAGAAUUGAGGGGGGCUGCUCCUAGUACGAGAGGACCGGAGUGGACGCAUCACUGGUGUUCGGGUUGUCAUGCCAAUGGCACUGCCCGGUAGCUAAAUGCGGAAGAGAUAAGUGCUGAAAGCAUCUAAGCACGAAACUUGCCCCGAGAUGAGUUCUCCCUGAGACUUUAAGUCUCCUGAAGGAACGUUGAAGACGACGACGUUGAUAGGCCGGGUGUGUAAGCGCAGCGAUGCGUUGAGCUAACCGGUACUAAUGAACCGUGAGGCUUAACCUU